RNAcentral lists this ribosomal RNA (253 nucleotides) under uncultured bacterium. RNAcentral's name for it is "partial 16S ribosomal RNA". It matches the Rfam family "Bacterial small subunit ribosomal RNA", at positions 524 to 776 of the family's 1533-position model. The record is from RNAcentral.
UACGGGGGGGGCAAGCGUUGUUCGGAAUUACUGGGCGUAAAGGGCGCGUAGGCGGCCUUCUAAGUCGGACGUGAAAUCCCUCGGCUUAACCGAGGAGCUGCGUCCGAUACUGAAAGGCUUGAAUCCGGGAGAGGGAUGUGGAAUUCCUGGUGUAGCGGUGAAAUGCGCAGAUAUCAGGAGGAACACCGGUGGCGAAGGCGGUGAUCUGGGCCGGCACUGACGCUGAGGAGCGAAAGCGUGGGUAGCAAACAGG